Molecule: ribosomal RNA, 564 nt
Filed under: uncultured Glomus
Lineage: Eukaryota; Fungi; Glomeromycota; Glomeromycetes; Glomerales; Glomeraceae
Description: SSU rRNA
Rfam family: Eukaryotic small subunit ribosomal RNA
Source: RNAcentral
AAUUGGAGGGCAAGUCUGGUGCCAGCAGCCGCGGUAAUUCCAGCUCCAAUAGCGUAUAUUAAAGUUGUUGCAGUUAAAAAGCUCGUAGUUGAAUUUCGGGAUUGACACAUCGGUCGUGCCCUAAGGGGUAUGAACUGGUGUAGUCAGUUUCUCACCUUCUGGAGAACCGCGAUGUCCUUAAUUGGGUGCCGCGAGGAACCAGGACCUUUACUUUGAAAAAAUUAGAGUGUUUAAAGCAGGCAUUUUGCUUGAAUACAUUAGCAUGGAAUAAUAAAAUAGGACGGAUGGUUCUAUUUUGUUGGUUUCUAGGAUCACCGUAAUGAUUAAUAGGGAUAGUUGGGGGCAUUAGUAUUCAAUUGUCAGAGGUGAAAUUCUUGGAUUUAUUGAAGACUAACUACUGCGAAAGCAUUUGCCAAGGAUGUUUUCAUUAAUCAAGAACGAAAGUUAGGGGAUCGAAGACGAUCAGAUACCGUCGUAGUCUUAACCAUAAACUAUGCCGACUAGGAAUCAGACGAUGUUAAUUUUUUAAUGACUCGUUUGGCACCUUACGGGAAACCAAAGUGU